This 1243-nucleotide long non-coding RNA is filed under the name Homo sapiens (human). RNAcentral's name for it is "HSALNT0345568". The record is from RNAcentral. Lineage: Eukaryota; Metazoa; Chordata; Mammalia; Primates; Hominidae.
GCGGAGCUGCUUUUCAGCAGAGACCUGCAGCAUCAGAAAGAGCCAGUGAGCUGGUGACCUGGGAAAAGAGAGUUGCAGGCAAAGGGAACGGCCAGUGCAGAGGCCGUGGGGUAAGAAUAACCUUGGUGUGCUCCAGGGACAGAAAGAAGACCAGGGCACCCAGUCCACUGAGUGGAAGGAAGAGAAAUAUGCCAAGGGUGGAAAGCCGCCGUGUAAGAAGUACCUUUCACCUUCCACCAUGAUUGUGAGGCCUCCCCAGCCACGUGGAAAUGGCAGGUGCAGAGGAUCCAGCAUGUUAUUCUGAAACCCCAGAAGACGCUGCAGCUACCAAAUAGAAGGAGCCUGGAUCCCUGAAUGUCUUCAUGGAACAGAACAUUCUCCUCACUCCAGUCUGUUUGAACCAGAAUAUGACCUGAGCAAGAAAUAAGCCUUAAUUAUAUUUGACCAUAGAAUUCUGGUGAUAUUUCUAUGGCUGUAAGUCCAUGUUGAUUAAUACAAAGGGAUGCUGUAAAGCCUCUUCUAUUAAAAAAAGUUGCCCAAGGAGUGAAAGGAGAGAUAUUUUCUGUAAUUAAGAUUUUCAUAAUACAUAGAACAGGCUAUAGCACCUGGCAAUCAAUCAUAUGGGGUACAACAGAAAGAGGAAACAUUCCUGCUAUUAAAUUAACCAAACUGGAGUUCUUGUUAUAUAAUAUAGUAAAAUUUCCUCAAUCUUUCAGCCACCUUUAGUUCUGUAAUCUAUUAUUUCUGGGUAAAAGCAUACCAUUUGAUACACAAUCCAAACCCAAUUCUUAAUUAAUAACGUGUAUCCACUGUAUCUUACCACAUCCCAAAUCAUCUAAUACUUAACCACCUAGUUUCUAUGUUCCACUUACAUCAAACAUAUUCAUGUUUGGAAAAUUGAGCCAGCAUCUACUGCCUUAUCAGCUGAUGCAUAACAAUUUACUUUGUCUGUGCUCUAUAAUAAUGCAAGUCUGCUUGGAAAGAUAACACGUUAAAGGGUUAUCAGACCCUAACACCUUCGUAUAGAUGAAUUUAUCAGAUCCUCUGCUAAACCACUUUCGAAUCCUUGGCCAGUUCUCUACAUUUCAUGAAGAGUUAGCAUAGCCAGUCCAGGAGAUAUUAUCUUCAGGAUGUGGUCAGUUGUGGAAAGGAAGAUAGCUCUGAGGAUCUCUUUCCAGGGAAAAGAAAGACAUGAGGAUUGCUCCAAAGAUCCUCUUUCUGGGGGAAAACGCACAUACUACAG